Schistocerca gregaria is the source of this 470-nucleotide long non-coding RNA. RefSeq lists it as uncharacterized. The transcript has 2 exons. NCBI's taxonomy places the organism in Eukaryota, Metazoa, Arthropoda, Insecta, Orthoptera, Acrididae. The record is from RefSeq and is a predicted model, not a curated record.
UGACGUCGAAAUGUUCUCGUCGGCGGCAGCCGAAGUGCGAUCAACAUUACACCGGCACGACGUUGGACGGCCGCCGUCGACGUCAGUAUCGGUCGCGUGCGCCGCCAGCGGGGCCGCAUAAAAGCUGCCGCCCGUCCUCUCAGCAGCAGUCGUCUCACGCAUUCGGAUCAACAUGAAGCUUCUCCUGGUACUUUUAGUCGCAGCGGUGGCGUUUGCGGUGGCAGCCGCCAUGCCUCACGGAGGAGGUGGUGGACUGUUGUACCCGGGCGGUAUCUACCCUGGAGGCAUCUACCCGGGCGGUAUCUACCCUGGAGGGAUCUACCCUGGUGGCAUCCCCGGCGGAAUCUACCCCGGCUUCUUCCCGGGAUAGGCAUCUGAUGCUGAUUUGAUUCGUCGAUGGGUUUUCUUGACGACACCUUACUAACAGUGUAGCCUCUGGUUUCAUAAAAAUAAAAUGCAGUAACACUUAA